AGAUUGAACGCUGGCGGCAUGCCUUACACAUGCAAGUCGAACGGCAGCACGGGAGCAAUCCUGGUGGCGAGUGGCGAACGGGUGAGUAAUAUAUCGGAACGUGCCCAGUAAUGGGGGAUAGCCCGGCGAAAGCCGGAUUAAUACCGCAUACGACCUACGGGUGAAAGCGGGGGAUCGCAAGACCUCGCGUUAUUGGAGCGGCCGAUAUCAGAUUAGCUUGUUGGCGGGUAAAAGCCACCAAGGCAACGAUCUGUAGCUGGUCUGAGAGGACGACCAGCCACACCUGGGACUGAGACACGGCCCAGACUCCUACGGGAGCAGCAGUGGGAAUUUUGGACAAUGGGCGCAAGGCCUGGACUCCAGCCCAAUGUCCGCGUAGGUGGGAAGAAGGG
This 392-nucleotide ribosomal RNA is filed under the name uncultured soil bacterium. RNAcentral's name for it is "bacterial SSU rRNA". It matches the Rfam family "Bacterial small subunit ribosomal RNA", at positions 26 to 415 of the family's 1533-position model. The record is from RNAcentral.